GUCUUCAUGAAAUUAAGGGUGUGUCAGAAUGAGAUCACUGCCUGCUGGUGUGGUAUGUGGCUGGAAUGGCUUCUGAUGCCAGAAGGAUCUUUUUUCAGUUAUCACAGCUGUCACUCAUAAGGCAUUGGAACUGCACUUAAUAUGGAUUGUAUUGUAAUGCUAGCCUUCCAGUUCUGAAUCAGAGCAGUAAUUCUCCACUUUUCAAAGAGGAGGUGCUGGCUGUGGAACUAAUACAGCUGAUCUAAGUAGCAUUGCCAGGUUUUGUCUUCAGAUGGAAUAAUUUAUCUGUUACAUUAACAUUUGGAAGCAUGUUGAGUUAAUGCUGAGAUCAUGAAGAUUUACAGAAACCUCAUGUUUAGCCAUGUUUUGCAAACAACAGAGUUUUCCAGGAAACAUAAAGACUCCAGUCAUAUUUUGGCAAGAAGAGAGACCAUUAUGAUUAUUUGGGCAUCUGAGAGAAUUGUGGCAGGAAAUAGCCAAAAGAAGAAGAGGCUUAAGUGGGUCCAUAUGGCACACAACAAUCGACAGCAAAGAUGCAUUGCCAACUUGGUCAAACCCAGUUACUGCAAAUUUCCAGACAAACCUCUGAAUUCCAGGGUGGAGGAAACAAAGUAAACCUCUAG
RNAcentral lists this long non-coding RNA (623 nucleotides) under Phasianus colchicus (ring-necked pheasant). RNAcentral describes it as "lncRNA (ENSPCLG00000020791.1)". The record is from RNAcentral. Lineage: Eukaryota; Metazoa; Chordata; Aves; Galliformes; Phasianidae.